CAACACUCAAUGAGUCAAACGUAGAGAGGUGGUUUCUUUGGAACCAUUUGACGCGGGUAGCAGCUUCAAUCAGACAUGUUAUGUGAAUGAUUGAUGAUUGAGCAGCAAAUGCAACA
Molecule: small RNA, 116 nt
Filed under: Vibrio cholerae O1 biovar El Tor str. N16961
Lineage: Bacteria; Pseudomonadati; Pseudomonadota; Gammaproteobacteria; Vibrionales; Vibrionaceae
Source: RNAcentral